Molecule: ribosomal RNA, 222 nt
Filed under: uncultured bacterium
Lineage: Bacteria
Description: partial 16S ribosomal RNA
Rfam family: Bacterial small subunit ribosomal RNA
Source: RNAcentral
GCAAGUCGAACGCACACUUUCGGGUGUGAGUGGCGGACGGGUGAGUAACGCGUGGGAACCUGCCCCGAGGUCUGGGACAACCGUGGGAAACCGCGGCUAAUACCGGAUGUCUCCUGAGGGAGAAAGGCUUGCCGCCUUGGGAGGGGCCCGCGUUGGAUUAGCUUGUUGGUGGGGUAAUGGCCUACCAAGGCUGCGAUCCAUAGCUGGUCUGAGAGGAUGAUC